Molecule: ribosomal RNA, 330 nt
Filed under: uncultured eukaryote
Lineage: Eukaryota
Description: partial 18S ribosomal RNA
Rfam family: Eukaryotic small subunit ribosomal RNA
Source: RNAcentral
CCCUUAGAUGUUCUGGGCCGCACGCGCGCUACACUGAUGCAUUCAACGAGCCUAUCCUUGACCGACAGGUCCGGGUAAUCUUUGAAUCUGCAUCGUGACGGGGAUAGAUUAUUGCAAUUAUUAAUCUUCAACGAGGAAUGCCUAGUAGGCGCAAGUCAUCAGCUUGCGUCGAUUACGUCCCUGCCCUUUGUACACACCGCCCGUCGCUCCUACCGAUUGGAUGGUUUAGCGAGAACUUUGGACCGGAGCUCGGGUGGUCAGCAAUGGUCGCCCGAGAUGUCUGGGAAAUCGUUCCAGCUUGAUCAUCUAGAGGAAGUAAAAGUCGUAACA